Molecule: ribosomal RNA, 310 nt
Filed under: uncultured eukaryote
Lineage: Eukaryota
Description: partial 18S ribosomal RNA
Rfam family: Eukaryotic small subunit ribosomal RNA
Source: RNAcentral
CCCUUAGAUGUUCUGGGCUGCACGCGUGCUACACUGAUUAUUUCAACAAGUGUUUUAACUGGAGAGUUCGCGUAAUCCUGAAAUGUUAUCGUGAUGGGAUUAGAGUAUUGUAUUUGUUAAUCUUUAACGAGGAAUUCCUAGCAAGUGUAGGUUUAUAAGUUGUUCUGAUUACGUCCCUGCCCUUUGUACACACCGCCCGUCGCUCCUACCGAUUGAUUGAUCCGGUGAAUUACAUAGAAUUUUGCGUUUUACAUGACGGAAGACGAAGUGUUUUAAACCUUAUCAUUUAGAGGAAGGAGAAGUCGUAACA